This is a long non-coding RNA of Polypterus senegalus (gray bichir), 538 nucleotides long. RefSeq lists it as uncharacterized. NCBI's taxonomy places the organism in Eukaryota, Metazoa, Chordata, Cladistia, Polypteriformes, Polypteridae. The record is from RefSeq and is a predicted model, not a curated record. The transcript is spliced from 3 exons.
CUUUGAGUCUCUAGAACUUGAAUGGGAAGAAGAGGGGGCUUUUGUCCGACUUGAUCCCUGGCUAUUUUGGAGCUCAGGUGUUCCGGUGAGUGUGUGAAGAUGAUUCGAGUGAAGUGUGACUAGUUCAGCGAGCGAAGAGGGGAUCAACAAUAAACGGCGAUGACAAGCAAUCCAUAUUCAGAGAAUGGAGCUUGUUCUAGAAUGAAACAGGAGACCAAUGAAUAGCUGAAAUGCUGGCACAAAAAUGAGUUUCGGCUACUGGAAGACAAUUAACAGCACUUGAAUAAAUGCAAGAGGACAGAAGAUGUAAGCCCCAUGAUUGUUUCUUACUGGUAUUGCCCAUCCUUCUGCCACAGACAGUCACAAAGGUGUUGAAGGAAUCCCUCCAUGAUUUGGCCUCCCAUCAAGUCAUUAGGCAUUUGUUUUGUUUACUUAACAAUCUUACAAUGGUGGGAAGAGGGCCACAGUUUAAAUGGAGGGAUCUUUGUGCAUAAUGUUUGAAACUGGGAUUAAUAAAGUUAAUUUGGUUUUAAAUGAA